This 305-nucleotide ribosomal RNA is filed under the name uncultured bacterium. RNAcentral describes it as "bacterial SSU rRNA". It matches the Rfam family "Bacterial small subunit ribosomal RNA", at positions 335 to 638 of the family's 1533-position model. The record is from RNAcentral.
UUGCCUACGGGAGGCAGCAGUGAGGAAUAUUGGUCAAUGGUCGGGAGACUGAACCAGCCAAGCCGCGUGAGGGAGGAAGGUACAGAGUAUCGUAAACCUCUUUUGUCAGGGAACAAAGACUGGGACGCGUCCCCGGAUGAGUGUACCUGAAGAAAAAGCAUCGGCUAACUCCGUGCCAGCAGCCGCGGUAAUACGGAGGAUGCGAGCGUUAUCCGGAUUUAUUGGGUUUAAAGGGUGCGUAGGCGGCCUGCUAAGUCUGGAGUGAAAGGUACCGGCUCAACCGGUACAGGCUCUGGAAACUGGCG